This is a long non-coding RNA of Rhinolophus ferrumequinum (greater horseshoe bat), 617 nucleotides long. RefSeq lists it as uncharacterized. Lineage: Eukaryota; Metazoa; Chordata; Mammalia; Chiroptera; Rhinolophidae. The record is from RefSeq and is a predicted model, not a curated record. The transcript has 4 exons.
CAUGCAGUGGGACAGUUAAUCGCUUGCCAAGAGCCCGCCCACUGCCUCUCUGCAAUUAGUCGUGAAGUUGAAGGAGCUCCAAACUCCACAGGCACACUCAGGGCCUCCUACUCCUGCUUUUCAGGGUUUGUUAAUACAUCAAAAAGGCAGUCAUGUAACUGAGCAGAGUGAAGGAUGAUGGAUACUAGCUUUGAUAUUCUCCGACAGCCUUUUGAUGCACCGAGAGCCCCAGGGAGGACACCGAUGAAAGAUCAUUUGAUUGGGACCCUGAGCAUUGGCUAUGCUCCUUCCCACGCUGAGUGCUGGUGACUCUGACAGGCGAGCCGAGCAGAGCAGGUGGCUGAGCUCCCGCACGCGGCCAGGCCAGCUCCAGAAACACCUAACACUUGUCUACACCUCAAAACCAAAACGACUUGAGAGGACCAGCUCAUUGAGCCCUAGCUGCUGAGUCACAUUAGAGACAAAGAAACUGCUCAGGUCCUCUGGUCCCUCUCCCCACGUAAGAACGCAGGAUAUGGUCCCAGACGAGCAGACGGGAAGGAUCACAGUGAAGAGCAGGGUUGACAUUAUUUCCUGGAGUCCGAGGGCCUGAGCAGGGUCCUCCCUUCGUAGGAUCA